RNAcentral lists this ribosomal RNA (449 nucleotides) under uncultured bacterium. Its description in RNAcentral is "partial 16S ribosomal RNA". It matches the Rfam family "Bacterial small subunit ribosomal RNA", at positions 29 to 523 of the family's 1533-position model. The record is from RNAcentral.
AACGAACGCUGGCGGCAGGCCUAACACAUGCAAGUCGAGCGAAGCCUUCGGGCUUAGCGGCGGACGGGUGAGUAACGCGUGGGAAUGUGCCCUUUGGUACGGAAUAGCCCCGGGAAACUGGGAGUAAUACCGUAUGUGGUCGAGAGACGAAAGAUUUAUCGCCAAAGGAUCGGCCCGCGUUGGAUUAGGUAGUUGGUGGGGUAAUGGCCUACCAAGCCGACGAUCCAUAGCUGGUUUGAGAGGAUGAUCAGCCACACUGGGACUGAGACACGGCCCAGACUCCUACGGGAGGCAGCAGUGGGGAAUCUUAGACAAUGGGGGAAACCCUGAUCUAGCCAUGCCGCGUGAUCGAUGAAGGCCUUAGGGUUGUAAAGAUCUUUCAGUGGGGAAGAUAAUGACUGUACCCACAGAAGAAGCCCCGGCUAACUCCGUGCCAGCCGCCGCGGUAA